RNAcentral lists this ribosomal RNA (460 nucleotides) under uncultured bacterium. Its description in RNAcentral is "partial 16S ribosomal RNA". It matches the Rfam family "Bacterial small subunit ribosomal RNA", at positions 338 to 795 of the family's 1533-position model. The record is from RNAcentral.
CCUACGGGUGGCAGCAGUGAGGAAUAUUGGUCAAUGGCCGUAAGGCUGAACCAGCCAAGUCGCGUGAAGGAAGAAGGAUCUAUGGUUUGUAAACUUCUUUUAUAGGGGAAUAAAGGUAUCCACGUGUGGAUAUUUGCAUGUACCCUAUGAAUAAGCAUCGGCUAACUCCGUGCCAGCAGCCGCGGUAAUACGGAGGAUGCGAGCGUUAUCCGGAUUUAUUGGGUUUAAAGGGUGCGUAGGCUGUUUUUUAAGUCAGCGGUGAAAGUUUGGGGCUCAACCCUGGAAGUGCCGUUGAAACUGGAAGACUCGAGUGUGAGUGAGGUAGGCGGAAUGCGUGGUGUAGCGGUGAAAUGCAUAGAUAUCACGCAGAACUCCGAUUGCGAAGGCAGCUUGCUGAGGCAUAACUGACGCUGAAGCACGAAAGCGUGGGGAUCGAACAGGAUUAGAUACCCUUGUAGUC